RNAcentral lists this transfer RNA (77 nucleotides) under Staphylococcus pseudintermedius ED99. RNAcentral describes it as "tRNA-Pro". It matches the Rfam family "tRNA". Rfam says of the family: Transfer RNA (tRNA) molecules are approximately 80 nucleotides in length. Their secondary structure includes four short double-helical elements and three loops (D, anti-codon, and T loops). The record is from RNAcentral. Lineage: Bacteria; Bacillati; Bacillota; Bacilli; Caryophanales; Staphylococcaceae.
CGGGAAGUAGCUCAGCUUGGUAGAGCACUUGGUUUGGGACCAAGGGGUCGCAGGUUCAAAUCCUGUCUUCCCGACUU